Molecule: long non-coding RNA, 3345 nt
Organism: Triplophysa rosa
Lineage: Eukaryota; Metazoa; Chordata; Actinopteri; Cypriniformes; Nemacheilidae
Exons: 3
Source: RefSeq, a predicted model, not a curated record
CCAUGCAGCUCUUGUCCAACAUUGGGUUUCAGCGGGACCAUGUCGCUUUAUCAGCAUGGAAGUCUUUCUUUUAAUGGAGCAAGUCGACGCCCUUGCAUAUUUUAGUGAAGUGAAAGAGAAAGAAACUUAUGAGUAGGCUAAAAUAUAUUUCCUUGUUAUAGCUUUGCAGUCAGACAAUACGUGACCAGAGCCAGAAUGGCGUUUCAGGUCCGCAUCAGGAUUAAUAAAAAUGCGAUUAAAAUAUUGUCCGUGGCAACAUCAAGUGAUGAAUUUGAGAAGUUCACCAUUGGAAUGCUGAAGGAAAAAGCCUUAAAUUUGUUUCCAGGAGUAGACGAUCCAGGAGCCCUAAGGGUGAUUUUUGGUCAAAAUGAGCCUGAAGAUGAUGAAACAUUUGAGUCUUGCAACAUUGAACAUCUGUCUGUUCUUGUCGUCGUGCUCAUAAUGCCUGGUGGAGUAGUUCUUCGUCUUAGAGUCAUUUGAAGAUGUUGUGUAGUGGGUGCCAUACUGUGAGUCAUACAGCAGCACUUUGGGAGAUUUCUAGUGUCAGACUGAUGUCUGGUCUCUCUCUCUUCAAAUUGUCCAUUCCAACAUCAAAAAUCUGCAUUCUAUUAGAUGUCACAAGUAUAAUUUAUUUGAUUAUAGUGGUUAUAGUGUGCAGGUAGAAAUGUUUUUAAGUAGAAACUUGUUAUAUAUAAGAAUUAUGUAUUUUUGUUUUGUGUAUGUAUAAUAUGUUUAAAAUUCAACUCUCACUGUAUAAUACUGUGUAUAAAACCUAUGACUAACUGCCUUUUUGAGGUGUUGUUGAUCCAUCACUUCCACCACUUCAUUUCAGUUCAGAUAAUGCGUUCGAUACUGUAGACCAUAAAAUACUUCUAGAUCGCUUACACAAUUAUACCGGUAUUCAGGGACAGGCACUACAAUGGUUCAGAUCUUACUUAUCAGACAGACAUCAAUUUGUCCAUUUAAAUGGAGACUCAUCAAAUCUAACGCAAGUAAAUUGUGGAUUACCUCAGGGAUCGGUUUUAGGACCCUUGCUAUUCUCCAUAUACAUGCUGCCCCUUGGAAACAUUAUUAGAAAACAUGGAAUUAGCUUCCACUGUUAUGCAGAUGAUACUCAGCUAUAUAUCUCAUCAAGACCAGAUGAUUCCUUCCAACUAUCCAAAUUGGCAGAGUGCAUCGACGAUAUAAAGCAUUGGAUGACUUGUAAUUUCCUUCUUUUAAAUUCUAAUAAAACAGAAAUAUUACUUAUCGGACCAAAGACACGUGAGCAGAAUAUUUCGGAUUAUGACCUGCAAAUUGAAGGCUGCACUGUUACUCCAACAAAUACAGUUAAAGACCUUGGCGUUAUAUUAGACAGCAACCUGUCAUUUAAAAAUCACAUCUCAAAUGUCACAAAAACAGCCUUCUUCCACCUUAGAAAUGUUGCCAAAUUGCGAAAUAUUUUAUGUGUGGCUGACGCAGAGAAGCUUAUUCAUGCAUUUGUGACCUCAAGACUUGACUACUGUAAUGCACUGCUUAGUGGUUGUCCUGCAGCAUCAAUAAACAAACUACAGUUAGUUCAGAAUGCAGCUGCCAGAGUUCUAACCAGGUCCAGAAAAUACGAUCACAUAACCCCAAUGUUAUCAACCCUUCACUGGUUACCCAUUAAGUAUCGUAUUGACUUUAAAGUUCUUUUAAUUACUUAUAAAGCCUUAAACGGUUUAGCCCCUACCUACAUAACAGAGCUUCUACCACACUACAACCCAUCACGCUCUCUAAGAUCUCAAAACUCCAGACUUUUGAUAACACCUAGAAUAACUAAAUCCACCAAAGGGGGUAGAGCUUUCUCAUACGUAGCACCUAAACUCUGGAAUAGCCUCCCCGAUACUAUUCGAGGGUCAGACACACUCUCCCAAUUUAAAUCUAGAUUAAAGACACAUCUUUUCAGCCAAGCAUUCACUAAUACAUAGCUAAUGAACAGCAGCUACGCUAAUUAUUCUCUUUCUGUUUCUGCCCUCGCCUCGGGAUGCCCAUCCCGAGGUAGGGAGAGAUUCCGCCAGGCCCAGAUGAACGUCAUAUGCCCAUCCACAACUAGAGAUUACGCCAGCUACAUCGGAAAAUCCCGUGCCAUCCUCCUGCGAGAGCCUGUGGACUGACUGACCAUCCCAGCUCCAUCCAAGGCAAUUCCAUCACCACCCAAGAAAAAGGCGACCAUCUGGCCGGCCCAGCUCAGACAAUUCCAUCCCCAACCGAGAGCAAAGACGGACUACCUGUCACAUAAAUGCUAAAUUUACAAUACUUGGUAUUUAAUGCUAAACUUACAUCACACGACAGCAGUUUGAAGUUAUGGCUGCACUCAGUGACUUUGAUUGGAGGUAGCUGGGUGGGUGUUGUAGGGAGUGGGGGGGCUUGUUGGUUGUGGUUCGGGGCGUUUCAUUUGUUGGGACUGUGUGGGUCUGGUCUGGUUGGUCUUGUUUUGUGGUCGAUGUCGGACAACAGAGGAAUAAAGUUAAUUAUGCCAUUACUACUUUUCCCUGGUUGUUCCUCUGUUGUCUGUUGUUGAUCGCGGAAUGGGACCGGGUUGGACCUGCACGGUUUCGGCGGGUGGGGCUUCCUGGGUCGCGGCUCGUGGGCUCUCCCUGUUCUUCGUGGACGUUGCUCGGUGGCUUUGGUCGGGGUCACUGAGUGCAGCUAUGACACGUCAGAGGAGAUCUGGCCCUCCCGGCUGAGCCUGGUUUCUCCCGAGGUUUUUUUUUCUCCAUUAUUCAGCAUUGGAGUUUGGGUUCCUCGCCACAGCAGAGCAGUGCAGUGUUGGCUUGCUCACCGGGAGACUGCAUUUAUUUAUUUAUUUAUUCAUUUAUUUAUUAGAUAUUAUUUAUUAUAAUGAUCUUGCUUGGUCUAUAAACACCAUGCACUGUGCUGUGUUUUACCUUUCUGUGUUUUUCUUAUUUGCUCCUGUAAAGCUGCUUUGGAACAAUGCACAUUGUGAAAAGCGCUAUAUAAAUAAAAUUGAAUUGAAUAAUAUUUUUAGGCCUAAAUAAAAAGGGCCAUUCUAAAGACCAAAAAAAUGGUGUAUAAUACUAACUUGUUUUAUUGAAAAGAGAGUUUUUAAUUUAUAACGUAGGGAACAACUCUAAUACUAUGCAUUCGUUCAGAUGUCAUAAUGUAGUAAGCAAGUAUAGCAAUUAAUGUUUUUCCAAAUAAUGUUAUUUCAGUUCAGAUAAUAUUUUAGGCUAAAUCGUACACUGUAAAAAGUAAUACCUUAGUUCUACUCAAUAAAAUUAUGGCAACAGAUUACAAGCAUUUUUUUAAAAUUAAAUACAACUUAUUAGACAUGAGUAAAUUUCAAUCAUUCAGCAUAAAAAC